RNAcentral lists this ribosomal RNA (320 nucleotides) under uncultured eukaryote. Its description in RNAcentral is "partial 18S ribosomal RNA". It matches the Rfam family "Eukaryotic small subunit ribosomal RNA", at positions 592 to 976 of the family's 1831-position model. The record is from RNAcentral.
CAGUAGCGUAUAUUAAAGUUGUUGCAUUUAAAAAGCUCGUAGUUGGUGUGCCGCAUGUGGUUGACAAGCUACUUUGCAAGUCAAGUUCAUGCAGUUUUAAGCUUCGGCUUUUUACACCGUGAUUAAAUUAGUGUGAUCCAAACAGGCUUUGUUCGAAUGGUUCAGCACGGUAUGGGUUUUUGACGGACUACCAAGUUUCUUGGAAGUUUGUAAUUCUUAAUACAGGUGAUGGAAUCCGUAUUGAGUUGUUAGAGGUGAAAUUCUUGGACCAACUCAAGACGAACUGAAGCGAAAGCUUUUUCCACAUAUGCUCUUAUUAA